RNAcentral lists this ribosomal RNA (291 nucleotides) under uncultured bacterium. RNAcentral describes it as "partial 16S ribosomal RNA". It matches the Rfam family "Bacterial small subunit ribosomal RNA", at positions 333 to 623 of the family's 1533-position model. The record is from RNAcentral.
AUUUCCCUACGGGAGGCAGCAGUGAGGACUAUUGGUCAAUGGCCGGGAGGCUGAACCAGCCAAGUCGCGUGAGGGAAGACGGCCCUACGGGUUGUAAACCUCUUUUGUCAGGGAGCAAGGGGCGGGUCGAGACCUGCUGUGAGAGUACCUGAAGAAAAAGCAUCGGCUAACUCCGUGCCAGCAGCCGCGGUAAUACGGAGGAUGCGAGCGUUAUCCGGAUUUAUUGGGUUUAAAGGGUGCGCAGGCGGAAGCACAAGUCAGCGGGAAAAUCCCGGGGCUCAACCCCGCUCC